AUGGACGCGUACGAGGCGACGAAGGUGGUGUUCGCGCGGAUCCAGGGGCUGGACCCGGACCACGCGGCCAAGAUCAUGGGGCUGCUGCUCAUCCAGGACCACGGCGAGAAGGAGAUGAUACGCCUCGCCUUCGGCCCGGAGGCGCUGCUGCUCGCCGUCAUGGCCAAGGCGCGCAAGGACCUCGGCCUGCUCCCGGCCUCGGCCUCGGGCCCCGCCACGCCCACCUCCGCCGGCCACUCCUCGCCCUUCAUGCUCUCGCGCCAGAACUCGGGGCGUGGCGGCUGCGGCGGGGGCACGGCGCCCUCGCCGCUCUCGGUCUCCUCGCCCUCGUCCUGGGCCCCGCCGCCGGUGUUCUCCAGGAGCAACAGCGUCAGCAAUGGCAGCGCCGCGGAGGAGAUGGCGGGCGUCGGGGAGGAGCAGCUGAUGAGCCCGGCCAACGGCGGGGGCGGGGGCCCGCAGUCGCCCUUCUUCGGCGGGGAGUCGCUGAUCCUCGACGAGCUCCACCUGCAGGACCAGCUCGCGUUCCUCAGCGAGGGAGGCAUGGGCGGCGGGGGAGGGCGUCAGCAGCUCCCGCUCUUCGACAACGGCGAGUGCCGCAGCCCCAGCGGCGGCGGCGGCGGCGGGCUCUUCCCGUACGGCGCCGCGUGGGCCAACGGCGGGUCCGGGCACCGCAGGAGCGCGUCGGUGAGCGAGCUCUGCUUCGGGGGCGGCGACGGCCUCGGCUGGAAGCCCUGCCUCUACUACGCGCGCGGGUACUGCAAAAACGGGAGCGCCUGCCGGUUCGUGCACGGCGGCCUCCCCGACGACCUCGCCGGCGCCAAGAUGGACCAGGCCUCCGUGGAGCAGCAGUGCCAGGACUUCCUCCUCCGCUCCAAGUCCCAGCGCCUGGCCGCCGCCGCCGGCUUCGCCUACUCCCCCACCGGCUCCCUCCCUGGCUCCCCCUCCGCGGCGAGCAAGUGCCUCAGCUUGCUCCUGCAGCAGCAGCAGCAGCAAAACGACGGCCAAAGGGCGGCGGCCGCGGCGGCCGCGGCGGCGCUGAUGCUGGGCGGCGACGAGGCGCACAAGUUCAUGAACCGCCCCCGCCUCGACCGCGGCGACUUCGCGAGCAUGAUGAACCCGGGGUCCCGGCAGAUUUACCUCACCUUCCCGGCGGACAGCACCUUCCGCGAGGAGGACGUCUCCAACUACUUCAGCAUCUACGGCCCAGUCCACGACGUGCGCAUCCCCUACCAGCAGAAGCGCAUGUUCGGGUUCGUCACCUUCGUCUACCCGGAGACGGUGAAGCUGAUCCUGGCCAAGGGCAACCCGCACUUCAUCUGCGACGCGCGCGUGCUCGUCAAGCCCUACAAGGAGAAGGGCAAGGUUCCCGACAAGUUCAGGAAGCAGCAGGGCGAGAGGGUGGACUUCUCCGGCUGCGGGUCUCCCACCGGGCUGGACGCCAGAGACCCCUUCGAUCUGCACCAGAUUGUUGGUGCGAGGAUGCUGCAGCACUCCAACAGCGCCAACGAGAUGCUGCUGAGGAGGAAGCUGGAGGAGCAGCAGCAGGCGGUGGAGCUGCAGCAGGCGAUCGAGCUCCAGAGCAGGCGCCUCAUGGGGCUGCAGCUGCUGGACCUCAAGACCCGCUCCGCCGCCGCCGCCGCGCCGACCCCCAUCGGGAAGCCGUUCAGCCCCACCCACACUUCUGCCGCCACGCCGACCCUCGAUUCGCCGCCCGAUUCCGGGGAGCAAGGCAAUGGCUGCGGCUUCCUUUUCCCUCACAAGAAUGCGGUCAACGGAGCUGAUAAGGAUGAAACCUCAGGCGAUUCCACCACCAGCCCUAACACUGACAGCGACCAAAGCGCGGAGCAUAACCUGCCGGACAGCCCGUUCGCGUCGCCGACCAAGUCGGGGGCCUUCGCCCGUGAUCCUUUCGCGCCCACCGAGUCGGAGAUCGCCGCCGCCGCAGCCUCGACCGGUUGCAACGCGGCCUACAACGGCGGUAUCAACGGCAAUGGUGCCAGGAACGGCGGCGGCAUUAACCACCAUCUCCUACCUCCAGCAUUGGACAUACCCUCACCAAAACCUUACUUCUUCCCCAUGUCCAGGUGCUGUCCUCCGAUCACGGCGCGGUCGGGAUGUAAAGUAGCGCUGAAUGGAAGUGAGUGA
Molecule: ribosomal RNA, 2145 nt
Filed under: Triticum aestivum (bread wheat)
Lineage: Eukaryota; Viridiplantae; Streptophyta; Magnoliopsida; Poales; Poaceae
Description: partial small subunit ribosomal RNA
Source: RNAcentral